RNAcentral lists this ribosomal RNA (833 nucleotides) under uncultured bacterium. RNAcentral's name for it is "bacterial SSU rRNA". It matches the Rfam family "Bacterial small subunit ribosomal RNA", at positions 62 to 896 of the family's 1533-position model. The record is from RNAcentral.
UCGACGAGGGUCCUUCGGGACUCGAGUGGCGAACGGGUGAGUAACACGUAGGGAACCUGCCCGUGCGACCGGGAGAACUUUCGGAAACGGAAGCUGAUACCGGAUAGGGACAGAGACGGCAUCGACUCUGUGUUAAAGGAGCUGAAAGGCUCCGCGCACGGAUGGACCUGCGGUGCAUUAGCUAGUUGGUGAGGUAACGGCCCACCAAGGCGACGAUGCAUAGCCGGCCUGAGAGGGCGGACGGCCACACUGGGACUGAGACACGGCCCAGACUCCUACGGGAGGCAGCAGUAGGGAAUUUUCGUCAAUGGGCGCAAGCCUGAACGAGCAAUGCCGCGUGAACGAGGAAGGUCUUCGGAUCGUAAAGUUCUGUUGAAGGGGAAAAAGAGCGGAGAGAGGAAAUGGUCUCCGAUUGAUAUUACCCUUCGAGGAAGUCACGGCUAACUACGUGCCAGCAGCCGCGGUAAUACGUAGGUGGCGAGCGUUAUCCGGAAUGAUUGGGCGUAAAGGGUGCGUAGGCGGCCUGCUAAGUCUGGAGUGAAAGGUACCGGCUCAACCGGUACAGGCUCUGGAAACUGGCGGGCUAGAGAGCAGGAGAGGGCGGUGGAACUCCAUGUGUAGCGGUAAAAUGCGUAGAUAUAUGGAAGAACACCAGUGGCGAAGGCGGCCGCCUGGCCUGUUACUGACGCUGAGGCACGAAAGCGUGGGGAGCAAAUAGGAUUAGAUACCCUAGUAGUCCACGCCGUANACGAUGAGGACCAAGUGUUGGGGNAGACCCAGUGCUGCAGUUAACGCAGUGAGUCCUCCGCCUGGGGAGUAUGCACGCAAGUGUG